GCUAACAGGGCGCCGCCAUACUCUGUCAUAGUGUCUUUGUCUAAAAGACGCGAAAGCUAAACGGAAUCUUGGUCGGUGGAAGGACGCCCCGGGGUGAUGGUUGGCAGCCUGCAGAUUCGGGUGCUACAGAGGAUAAACUUGACCUGCGAGGUGGAACAGCCGGGUUUGUGAAUCUGAAGAAAGUAAUGGACUGUGCCUGUUUGUACCCACCCAGCUGGCGCGCGAAGGAUCUAUUAAGGGGUCUCAGUUUCGCGUCCUGGGAGCAGAAUCAAGUUGAGCUUUGCGGAGGUCUUGGCUUCCUGGGAUGAAAUAGUUCCAGUGAAGGAAGGAACUGAAGGUACCAAGAUCAGCAUUACAUCCUUCACCAGAGACUCUGUACUGGAGCUUCAGGGAAGAGGCCAGAAUCAACAAUAGAGCAGAUAUUAGAGUUGCUGGCUGUUCCUAAGGGCUCCAGAAAAUGUCCAAGUCCCAAGGUUCACUGUCAUUCAAGGAUGUGGCUGUGGUUUUCACCUGGGAGGAGUGGCAGCUACUGGACCGUGUUCAGAAGAACCUGUAUCAAGAUGUGAUGUUGGAAAAUUAUAUCAACUUAGUAUCAGUGGGUAAGGAGAGCGUUCCCUGGGUAAUGUAGGCAACGGAUUGCCUUUUCUUUCUCAGGGAUGAAAGGGGUGGAGGCUUACAACUGCCUUACUUUUUUAGAUUUGAGUUUCAUACAUCAUAGAUUUCAGUACCUUGUGGCCUCUAACAGUAUUUUUCUCUCACUUCCAAAGCAAAAGUCCUUUACUUGGCCAAGAUGCAAUUUGUUCAGCCCCUUAAAUGUAACCUUUCCCAGUUUACAGAGGGCUUGUAUUUGGGUCCAUGGGUCCUCUGUAAUUCCCCUUGAGUAGGGUAUCAAGUUACCAAAGCAGAUGCAUUCUACCGGUUGGAACAAGAAACACCAUGGAUAAUAGAGGAAGAAAGCCAGAGUCAGAUUCAUCCAGAAGACACCUGGCAAGUUGAUAAUCAUAGAGACUGGCACAAAGGAAACCAUGGCAACCUGGAAACUAUGGAGAGUUACCACAAAGAUAAUGCAUUUGGAAAAAUAUCUUCUCUGAGCUUAAACCUUGAUAUCUCCUUAGCACAAAGAUCUCAUACACCUGACAUACUUGGGAAACAUU
Molecule: long non-coding RNA, 1154 nt
Organism: Balaenoptera ricei (Rice's whale)
Lineage: Eukaryota; Metazoa; Chordata; Mammalia; Artiodactyla; Balaenopteridae
Exons: 4
Source: RefSeq, a predicted model, not a curated record